This 492-nucleotide ribosomal RNA is filed under the name uncultured bacterium. RNAcentral's name for it is "partial 16S ribosomal RNA". It matches the Rfam family "Bacterial small subunit ribosomal RNA", at positions 29 to 507 of the family's 1533-position model. The record is from RNAcentral.
AGUGAACGCUGGCGGUAGGCCUAACACAUGCAAGUCGAACGGCAGCACAGUAAGAGCUUGCUCUUACGGGUGGCGAGUGGCGGACGGGUGAGGAAUACAUCGGAAUCUACUUUUUCGUGGGGGAUAACGUAGGGAAACUUACGCUAAUACCGCAUACGACCUACGGGGGAAAGCAGGGGAUCUUCGGACCUUGCGGGAUUGGAUGAGCCGAUGUCGGAUUAGCUAGUGGGCGGGGUAAAGGCCCACCAAGGCGACGAUCCGUAGCUGGUCUGAGAGGAUGGUCAGCCACACUGGAACUGAGACACGGUCCAGACUCCUACGAGAGGCAGCAGUGGGGAAUAUUGGGCAAUGGGCGCAAGCCUGAUCCAGCCAUACCGCGUGGGUGAAGAAGGCCUUCGGGUUGUAAAGACCUUUUGUUGGGAAAGAAAAGCAGCAGGUUAAUACCCCGCUGUUCUGACGGUACCCAAAGAAUAAGCACCGGCUAACUUCGUG